UACGUAGGGUGCGAGCGUUGUCCGGAAUUACUGGGCGUAAAGGGCUCGUAGGCGGCCCUCUCAGUCGGAUGUGAAAUCCCCAGGCUCAACCUGGGAAUGGCAUCCGAUACUGGAGGGCUUGAAUUCGGGAGAGGGAUGCAGAAUUCCAGGUGUAGCGGUGAAAUGCGUAGAUAUCUGGAGGAAUACCGGUGGCGAAGGCGGCAUCCUGGACCGAGAUUGACGCUGAGGAGCGAAAGCUAGGGGAGCAAACGGG
Molecule: ribosomal RNA, 253 nt
Filed under: uncultured bacterium
Lineage: Bacteria
Description: partial 16S ribosomal RNA
Rfam family: Bacterial small subunit ribosomal RNA
Source: RNAcentral